GUGCCUCGUCGUACACUGGAUGCACUCCAUAGAUGGCAGGAAAUGGCCUACUGUGGAUUUGUGGGAAAGAAGGAAAGGCCAGUGAGCAGGCAUUAACGGAGCCAAUGGACCAUAAAAAUGCCCCUGGUCCAUGCGGCGGUGUAGCAAGGGCUGCCCAGCACACCAGAGAGUAGCACCUUAGACCAUGCCACUCAGCUACAGGUAUGUUCCGAUUCUGGUGUGGAAGUUGCGUGCAUUCAUCUCUUCUUCACCUUGGUGCAGAAAUGACUUUGCCAUGCCAGGGACGAACACCUUACACUACACUACUCAGCAACAGGGCCAUACGGUGCAGAGAGGACCUGCCGACGCCGGGGAUUGUCACCUUACAGUAUGCCACACAAUUACAGAGCCAUGAAAAGACAGCUGCAAGAUGACACAAAGCAAGAUGGUUUCCCAAUGCGUAAAGAUUGAACACCAACCUCCGAGAUGAAUCAGAAGAAGCGCCUGUAUGGAUAGGACACGAGUGUAGUAAUAAAACCAUAUUGCCAAUAUAAA
Molecule: long non-coding RNA, 534 nt
Filed under: Ixodes scapularis (black-legged tick)
Lineage: Eukaryota; Metazoa; Arthropoda; Arachnida; Ixodida; Ixodidae
Description: uncharacterized LOC115325055, transcript variant X1
Source: RNAcentral